AAUAAUCAUCAAGAACCUUUAGGUACCAACCGAGCAAAGUAGCCACGGUGGUAAAAAUGAUGUGGUCGAUUUCUAGACAAAAAAACUAAAUCAC
RNAcentral lists this non-coding RNA (94 nucleotides) under Flammeovirga sp. RNAcentral's name for it is "SAM-I-IV sequence". It matches the Rfam family "SAM-I/IV (S-adenosyl methionine) riboswitch aptamer". From Rfam's summary of the family: It is found upstream of a number of genes which code for proteins involved in methionine or cysteine biosynthesis. It has been found mostly in the order Actinomycetales. Lineage: Bacteria; Pseudomonadati; Bacteroidota; Cytophagia; Cytophagales; Flammeovirgaceae. The record is from RNAcentral.